GUGAGACAGGUCGGUMCCUAUCUGCCGUGGGCGCUGGGGAACUGAGGGGGGCUGCUCCUAGUACGAGAGGACCGGAGUGGACGCAUCACUGGUGUUCGGGUUGUCAUGCCAAUGGCACUGCCCGGUAGCUAAAUGCGGAAGAGAUAAGUGCUGAAAGCAUCUAAGCACGAAACUUGCCCCGAGAUGAGUUCUCCCUGACUCCUUGAGAGUCCUGAAGGAACGUUGAAGACGACGACGUUGAUAGGCCGGGUGUGUAAGCGCAGCGAUGCGUUGAGCUAACCGGUACUAAUGAACCGUGAGGCUUAACCUUACAACGCCGAAG
This 322-nucleotide ribosomal RNA is filed under the name Escherichia coli. RNAcentral's name for it is "bacterial LSU rRNA". It matches the Rfam family "Bacterial large subunit ribosomal RNA", at positions 2621 to 2925 of the family's 2925-position model. The record is from RNAcentral. Lineage: Bacteria; Pseudomonadati; Pseudomonadota; Gammaproteobacteria; Enterobacterales; Enterobacteriaceae.